This 800-nucleotide ribosomal RNA is filed under the name Halomonas sp. Mg54. Its description in RNAcentral is "bacterial SSU rRNA". It matches the Rfam family "Bacterial small subunit ribosomal RNA", at positions 67 to 864 of the family's 1533-position model. Lineage: Bacteria; Pseudomonadati; Pseudomonadota; Gammaproteobacteria; Oceanospirillales; Halomonadaceae. The record is from RNAcentral.
CGGUAACAGAUCCAGCUUGCUGGAUGCUGACGAGCGGCGGACGGGUGAGUAACGCAUAGGAAUUUACCCGGUAGUGGGGGAUAACCUGGGGAAACUCAGGCUAAUACCGCAUACGUCCUACGGGAGAAAGGGGGCUUUGGCUCCCGCUAUCGGAUGAGCCUAUGCCGGAUUAGCUGGUUGGUGAGGUAAUGGCUCACCAAGGCGACGAUCCGUAGCUGGUCUGAGAGGAUGAUCAGCCACAUCGGGACUGAGACACGGCCCGAACUCCUACGGGAGGCAGCAGUGGGGAAUAUUGGACAAUGGGGGCAACCCUGAUCCAGCCAUGCCGCGUGUGUGAAGAAGGCCCUCGGGUUGUAAAGCACUUUCAGCGAGGAAGAACGCCUGGUGGUUAAUACCCGCCAGGAAAGACAUCACUCGCAGAAGAAGCACCGGCUAACUCCGUGCCAGCAGCCGCGGUAAUACGGAGGGUGCAAGCGUUAAUCGGAAUUACUGGGCGUAAAGCGCGCGUAGGUGGCUUGAUAAGCCGGUUGUGAAAGCCCCGGGCUCAACCUGGGAACGGCAUCCGGAACUAUGAGGCUAGAGUGCAGGAGAGGAAGGUAGAAUUCCCGGUGUAGCGGUGAAAUGCGUAGAGAUCGGGAGGAAUACCAGUGGCGAAGGCGGCCUUCUGGACUGACACUGACACUGAGGUGCGAAAGCGUGGGUAGCAAACAGGAUUAGAUACCCUGGUAGUCCACGCCGUAAACGAUGUCGACCAGCCGUUGGGUGCCUAGCGCACUUUGUGGCGAAGUUAACGCGAUAAG